Molecule: ribosomal RNA, 253 nt
Filed under: uncultured bacterium
Lineage: Bacteria
Description: partial 16S ribosomal RNA
Rfam family: Bacterial small subunit ribosomal RNA
Source: RNAcentral
UACGUAGGGCGCAAGCGUUGUCCGGAAUCAUUGGGCGUAAAGAGCUCGUAGGCGGCCUGUCGCGUCCGCUGUGAAAUCCCGGGGCUUAACCCCGGGCGUGCAGUGGAUACGGGGUGGCUGGAGGCAGGCAGAGGAGAGCGGAAUUCCCGGUGUAGCGGUGAAAUGCGCAGAUAUCGGGAGGAACACCAGUGGCGAAGGCGGGUCUCUGGACAGUUCCUGACGCUGAGGCACGAAGGUCAGGGGAGCAAACGGG